This 221-nucleotide long non-coding RNA is filed under the name Manihot esculenta (cassava). Its description in RNAcentral is "long non-coding RNA (MESC_LNC004047)". The record is from RNAcentral. Lineage: Eukaryota; Viridiplantae; Streptophyta; Magnoliopsida; Malpighiales; Euphorbiaceae.
GUCAAACUUCCGUUAAGCUAUAAUGUGAUCUUGGGGAGGCCUGCGCUGUUCAAUUUCGAAGCUGUCACCAGUAUCAGGUAUUUGGCGCUCAAAUUUCCAACAGAAGAAGGAGUGGGAAUAGUCCGGGGCAGCCAGGAAGAGGCAAGAGCAGUAUACUUGGCCACAGUAGCAGAACCGAGCUCCACCGGAGAAGCCCUUGACUCGGAAGUUCUAGAGGUUCG